Molecule: small RNA, 80 nt
Filed under: Methylobacterium sp. UNC378MF
Lineage: Bacteria; Pseudomonadati; Pseudomonadota; Alphaproteobacteria; Hyphomicrobiales; Methylobacteriaceae
Description: suhB
Rfam family: Makes More Granules Regulator RNA (mmgR)
About the family: SuhB later renamed mmgR (makes more granules regulator) was a putative non-coding RNA found multiple times in the Agrobacterium tumefaciens genome and related alpha-proteobacteria. Other non-coding RNAs uncovered in the same analysis include: speF, ybhL, metA, and serC.
Source: RNAcentral
CUCUCACGCCCAUGGCGGGCGUUUCCUCCCUUCGACUUAAGGCCCUGUCCGACCCCGGACAGGGCCUUCUUGUUACCGGA